CUCUGAGGUGGGAGCCGAGCAGCCAGCAGGGGAGCCCUGCGAGGGACCAGGAGGGCAGUGGCCGCAUGGGCAUGCUAAGAGGGGUGAGCACUGGGGGGUGGCUUUAUCCGCAGACUUGGGCCGGGGCGGAAGGUCUAGGGAGUGUGCAGCAAACUGCGUAGGAAGCACAGAACUCGCCAGGUGAGAGGAUGAAUGCCGAUUCCCAGGGCUGCCCUAAGACUCAGCCAUAAUCGCGAAGGCUAUUAAAUGGCGAAGGGCCGCAGCCUUAACAGCAAAACCCAUGUCCCUGCGGGCUAGGUGACCAUGCUGCACAUCACCUAGGUUUGGGGCCACCACCCUGCCCUCCAUGGCCACUCCCCAUCCGUGCACAUUGCCUCUCCAAGCCCCUGUCCCCAGCAAAGCUACAGGGUCCUCUCCUCCCUCCAACCCCUACUCAAGGGGUCACAAAGAAGAGCAUCCUUCUGCCUGGGUUUGGCUGGAAGGGGGCUGCCGGGCCCAGGAGACCAGCCCCUCCCGCCCAGCAUGAGUCACUUGUACCCAGCCGUGUUCCAGAAAGGACUGCAGAGGCCAACACUGGCUGGACACUGCUAGACAUGUGACUGGCCUGGUGAGUCACACAGUGUCUGGGGCCUCAGUUACCUCAUCUAUGAAAUGGCCACACGGGGUAUGAGCGCAGAGGCUGGACCCGGCCUGGGGGACUCUUCUGCCUGCACCGCACCCCUGUGCAGCCUUUGUUGGGGGCAGUUCUGGCCGUUCUCGCACAGACCUUUUAUCGUUUUUACCAUUUGUGCAAAAUUUUCACCAUUCCUGGCUCACAGAGGAGGAAACAGAAGGCUCCCGAGGCUGCCUGCCUUGAACUUCGAUGAAGAAAAGGCUGUUUCACUCUGACCUCAGCUGUGGGACAGACCCGACUGGACCCCCAGGUUUGGAACAAGAGUGGCACAGAACAAAUGCCGCAUCCAAGCAUCACGGCCUUAGUCACCCAAUAAGAAACGACCUGUGCACAGCGACUGCAGAGCUCUUCACCUGCAGGGUCCCCAGCCUCUCCCCACCUCUAAAAGCGCCUUUCUUCUACAAGCUGAGGCUCAUUUUGCUCUCGUUUCCCAUGAAGACAGCCAACCACGACCAUUCACCUUCC
Vicugna pacos (alpaca) is the source of this 1138-nucleotide non-coding RNA. The record is from RefSeq and is a predicted model, not a curated record. Lineage: Eukaryota; Metazoa; Chordata; Mammalia; Artiodactyla; Camelidae.